Molecule: long non-coding RNA, 1044 nt
Filed under: Fragaria vesca (wild strawberry)
Lineage: Eukaryota; Viridiplantae; Streptophyta; Magnoliopsida; Rosales; Rosaceae
Description: long non-coding RNA (FVES_LNC003903)
Source: RNAcentral
UCCUCAAUUCCUCGUGCAGUACAUGUUGUCUUACUCGAAAAUUUGCUAGUACAAGUUGAUAUAUGUACAAACAAUUGCAACCUUGCAAACACAAUGGCAGUAGUACUGCGUGCAUAUAUGGCUAGGGUUUCUUAGAAUUCAGAUGCUUUGCGCAGACAUGGACGUAUAUGCUUAUCGUUGAUGUAGCAGCAGAGUCCCACUUGUGCAACCAGCAUGCUAAAAUCUAAGAACUAGUUGGCAUGUUGUGAGCUUAUAAUUAACCCUGAUGUGAACGAGACUCUACCUUUUUCAUUGCAAACAAGAGUACUUGAUCAAUAUAUAUAUGCAUGCACAUAUUAGAAGAGCCUCGACUGUUUAUAAAGGAGCUUUAUUCGUUCGCGCAUGACUUUCACUUGGUUGUACUUGUACUUGUCCUCUCUGCGAGAGAUAUAGAAGAUGUCAGUUCACAUUUCACAUUAUUGAGUCUGCGCCCAUAUACCAUUUGGUGCUUUAUGCAAAGUUUUGUUCUGUGUGGGAUACCGCCGUGCCUUUUAGUUCGUAGUGUAGUCGAAAGUCAUGCGAUUUAAGUCAUUCAUUAUCUGGGAUGCAUCGUAAACAAUGACUAAUUUAGCAACUUCCCUUCUUGUUCAUUAUGACUACGUGAUCAUCUAUUUGGUUUUUCUUUAGCAUAGUCAAUCUGAUAUUUAUAUACUAUCACAAGGAAAAUUAAGUCACCAGAAGGUAAAACCUUUCUCGAUCUACAGCUGAUAGUCAAUCUGGUAAUUCAGUCAGUUUAACCUACUACGUACUGGUGAAGCGUCAUUUUCAGAUUAUGUAGAUAUUUUCAGCAUUAGCGUUAAAUAUAGCAAUAAACUAAACUCAUCCAAACAUCCCACUUGAAGAAAGAACCUAAACUCAUCCCCAAACCUAAUAAACUAGAAAGAGUCAAGUACCUCCAUAGUUUUCAAUUCCUUAAGGGAAAGCCAGGCCUAUUAAACUAAUUAAAAGAGGUAAGUACCUUUCAUAGUUUUCAAUUCCUGAAGUGAAAGAUCAGAAAGGGACAGC